Molecule: long non-coding RNA, 599 nt
Organism: Columba livia (rock pigeon)
Lineage: Eukaryota; Metazoa; Chordata; Aves; Columbiformes; Columbidae
Exons: 2
Source: RefSeq, a predicted model, not a curated record
ACACCCUCACCAGGGCCAAAAAAACUUUCCAAUGUAUUCAUCAUCAUCAGGGUGGUUUGGCUUUUUUUUUUUUCUUUUUUUGUCCUAUCCUCUUCUUCAGACCACUUAUCUCUCCCCCCUCCUCUCGCCCAGCACCAUCGCAGCCUUCCCCUGAUCUGCCCCUUUAAGAAAAAUCAGCCCUCUCCGCUCCUAACCCUCCGCACACUGACCUUACACACUGGACAAUAUUUAAGGAUCAAGGUGCCAUCAUAUAAAGAGGUGGAAGGCAGCGCGCUCGGGAAGCGCUCCCGAGGGACGGGGGAAGCGGGGACACCCGAGGAAAGUGGGGAGAGAAAGGAAAAAUAAAAUUAAAAAAAACAAAAGGACGGAGCGAUAUCGACGAGCCCCGCAGGACCUGCCCGUCACCCCAAGAGCGAAGGUAGAGAGAGCCCAGGCAAGAACUGCUUUGAAGAAAGGAGCGAAGUGUAAAUAGCCCGAUGAUUGAUGUGCUGUCUUUGACUGCGGAGAAAGCACUAUUUUAAUUCAAGUGGCCAGGUCAGAUGGUCACGGAAGAAGGUUGAAAGGUAGGAUUUAAUGAGAUUAAUAUGGAGAGAGAGAAA